This is a long non-coding RNA of Perca fluviatilis (European perch), 531 nucleotides long. RefSeq lists it as uncharacterized. The transcript is spliced from 3 exons. The record is from RefSeq and is a predicted model, not a curated record. Lineage: Eukaryota; Metazoa; Chordata; Actinopteri; Perciformes; Percidae.
AAAAUCAAGUGUGGCAGAAAACAGCGACAGAGGGAAAGACAACUGCAAAACAACAUUCGUAAAGCUCUCAUGGCUCCAUUUAUCAUCCUGUUGGUCCUUCUGUCUGAAGCAGCUUCUAACCCAUAUGUGCUAACAGUGCACCCUGGAGAUGAUGUCACUCUGCCAUGUCAGGCUGCAGAUGUCCCCAUCAGCGUUGUAGAAUGGAGCAGACCUGACCUGGUGCCAGAGUACGUCCUCUUAAACAUCAAUGGACACCUGCAAACAAAGCAACAGAAUCCAUCCUUUAAGGACAGGGUGGAGCUGGUGGACAGAGAUCUGAAGGAUGGAGACGUGUCUUUAAUUCUGAAGAAUGUGAACAGCUACGACACUGCAAUAUUAUGUGUCGAGCUGCAUCACUUGGUUUAAGACGUAAAAAAAGAGCCUUCCUCGACUCUGAGCCAAUCAGAUUCAUCCGUCUGCAGGUUCCAGAGCCAGGACAUCCCAUAGAUGAAAACACAAUGAAUGAUGGAAACUUCCCUUGGGGUUACAUAG